Molecule: transfer RNA, 68 nt
Filed under: Heptamelus sp.
Lineage: Eukaryota; Metazoa; Arthropoda; Insecta; Hymenoptera; Tenthredinidae
Description: tRNA-Arg
Source: RNAcentral
AAAUUAGAAACAAUUAUUUGUAAUCAGUUUCGACCUGAUAUUUUAGUUAUUUACAUAACUCUAAUUUU